CCUACGGGAGGCAGCAGUGAGGAAUUUUGCGCAAUGGACGAAAGUCUGACGCAGCGACGCCGCGUGUGCGAUGAAGGCCUUUGGGUCGUAAAGCACUGUCGACCGGGACGAAAACUCACGGACUAAUACUUCGUGAGUCUGACGGUACUGGUAAAGGAAGCACCGGCUAACUCUGUGUCCAGCAGCCG
RNAcentral lists this ribosomal RNA (188 nucleotides) under uncultured delta proteobacterium. RNAcentral's name for it is "partial 16S ribosomal RNA". It matches the Rfam family "Bacterial small subunit ribosomal RNA", at positions 338 to 517 of the family's 1533-position model. Lineage: Bacteria; Deltaproteobacteria. The record is from RNAcentral.